UACGGGGGGGGCAAGCGUUGUUCGGAAUUACUGGGCGUAAAGGGCUCGUAGGCGGCCAACUAAGUCAGACGUGAAAUCCCUCGGCUUAACCGGGGAACUGCGUCUGAUACUGGAUGGCUUGAGAUUGGGAGAGGGAUGCGGAAUUCCUAGUGUAGCGGUGAAAUGCGCAGAUAUUAGGAAGAACACCGGUGGCGAAGGCGGCUCUCUGGAACGGUACUGACGCUGAGACGCGAAAGCGUGGGGAGCAAACAGG
This 253-nucleotide ribosomal RNA is filed under the name uncultured bacterium. Its description in RNAcentral is "partial 16S ribosomal RNA". It matches the Rfam family "Bacterial small subunit ribosomal RNA", at positions 524 to 776 of the family's 1533-position model. The record is from RNAcentral.